This 243-nucleotide ribosomal RNA is filed under the name uncultured Tintinnida. RNAcentral describes it as "partial 28S ribosomal RNA". It matches the Rfam family "Eukaryotic large subunit ribosomal RNA", at positions 1 to 242 of the family's 3401-position model. The record is from RNAcentral. Lineage: Eukaryota; Ciliophora; Spirotrichea; Tintinnida.
CAUCUGAAAUGAAGUAGGACCACCCGCUGAACUUAAGCAUAUCAUUAAGCGGAGGAAAAGAAACUAACCAGGAUUCCCUCAGUACGGGCGACGGAAGCGGGAAAAGCCCACACUGGUAAUCUCCGGGCGUUAGCUCGGCGAAUUGUAAUCUGAAGUCAGGUAGUCUAACUGGGUCGGGCGUCGAAGUGCGCGCGAGCGCGCCGCCAAAGAGGGUGAGAGCCCCGUAAGAGGCCGGAUCCUACC